Molecule: ribosomal RNA, 443 nt
Filed under: uncultured bacterium
Lineage: Bacteria
Description: partial 16S ribosomal RNA
Rfam family: Bacterial small subunit ribosomal RNA
Source: RNAcentral
CCUACGGGGGGCAGCAGUGGGGGAUAUUGGACAAUGGGGGAAACCCUGAUCCAGCGACGCCGCGUGAGUGAAGAAGUCUUUGUGUAUGUAAAGCUCUAUCAGCAGGGAAGAAAGAAAUGACGGUACCUGAGUACUAAGCCCCGGCUAACUACGUGCCAGCAGCCGCGGUAAUACGUAGGGGGCAAGCGUUAUCCGGAAUUACUGGGUGUAAAGGGAGCGUAGACGGUAAUGCAAGUCUGGAGUGAAAGGCGGGGGCCCACCCCCCGGACUGCUCUGGAUACUGUGUAACUGGAGUGCAGGAGAGGCAGGCGGAAUUCCUGGUGUAGCGGUGAAAUGCGUAGAUAUUAGGAGGAACACCAGUGGCGAAGGCGGCCUGCUGGACUGUAACUGACGUUGAGGCUCGAAAGCGUGGGGAGCAAACAGGAUUAGAUACCCGGGUAGUC